Non-coding RNA from Macaca mulatta (Rhesus monkey), 5964 nucleotides. Lineage: Eukaryota; Metazoa; Chordata; Mammalia; Primates; Cercopithecidae. The record is from RefSeq and is a predicted model, not a curated record.
UCUGCUCAGAAGUGGUAACUGCUCUUUCUCUGGAACGGUUGAAGAGGGGAUGGAGCAGAAGCAAUCACCUUGUGCAGCAAUGGAAAUGGAGGACUUCAUUAGGAGCCAGAAGCCCCUCACAGCUCACCUAAUCACUGGCUCUCAACAACUAUGUGCUUUACAGGGCCUGCAUAAGGAGGCUACCUAUAAGGAGAAGAAGCUGAGUUUCAUUUUGCUACUGAGAAACACACAAAGGAUGGAUGGCCUUUAACUUCCUAAGCGUUGCACCUGAGAGCAGAAGAAAUUGCCAGAUCCCUGCUGAUUUAUGAAAUGCAUUUCAAAGCCACAGAACUACCAUUUUAGGCAUUGCAGCAUAAUUUAAUUGGCAUUAUUUUUCUUACUGGUCCAGAAAAUAAUGGUGUGAUUUACAAAUGUUGAUGUCUUCAGUUUGAUCAAACACUGUGUUUAAAAUUGUAUACCUCUUACUGCUGAUCUACUUUAUCCUGCUCUACUGAACUAUAUAAUUCACUAAUUUACUCUAAAUUUACCAUCAGUCUCCUUCAGCUGAAGAUGAGCUCCCUGAAGGCAAGCAUCUUUGUUUAUUCAUCGUAGGGUCUAGAAAAACCAAUGUUCAAUACAUAAUUGUUAAAUGAAUUAAUGACUGAAGGAAUUGGAUUGUAACCCCUACUUGAAUGUAAUUUUACACUUACCCUUGUGACCUUGGUAGAACUAAUAUCCCUGCCUUUGUCAGGCUGGCAGCUUUAUGGCAAAUCUACAUUUUGAGUGUGUAGGAAGACUGGCCAAGGGACAAUAUCAAAGGCUAGUACCACAAGCCCUAAAGCAAUAAUGAAGAAUGACAUAGAUAGUUUCUAGUGAUGACUCUGUAUGUAUAGGAGGGAAGUGGGCAUUGGGAUGAGGAAGGAAUCAAUGAUUAUUCUCUUACAGCCAUGGAUAUGGUCAAAUGUGUGGAAUGAAUAGAUGAGUAAAUGCAACAUUUGACAAUUUCUCCAAAUAUGAUUUUUUUAUCAUGUACUAAUGGUUAUAUUUUUAAGUGGUAAUCUCAUUACCUCUCCAAGACCAAGCAAGACAUCAAUCAAAUGGUGUGAGAAGCAAAUUCAUGCAUUAACUUAACCAUGAAAGCAAGCAGUGGCUCAUGUGCCAUGAAAAGAAUUCAGAUUCGAAGGAAUGAGAAUCAGGCAGCAGGCUGAGUGAAUAUUCUCACAAUCAGAGCUUGACCUAGUGAGAAAUUAAGCAUACUCUACUUUUCCUUUAGUCUUCAUUUAUUUUGCUUAAGUUUGUGGGGGAUAUGUUGGCUUAAUUUGCGUCUGAUGAUUGUAUUUCUUCUUGGGAGAAAUGGAAGAAGUGACUAAUACCUACCAGGUGGACGGCAGGUAGGCAGAGGUGAAUGGAAGCAGAGCCAACACAUUUUCUGUGCCAAGUACAAUUCCCCAGGCUGAAUUAUAUUUCAAAUUUGUUUGCAUUGGUUCUUUCAUUAUCUCUUACACAAAUAGAGCUGAAAAACCAGAUGGUUAAGUACAGAAUACCGUGAUAUGAUGACUUGUAGACACAAGGGGUCAGCAUUUGAACGCAGAUGAUUUGGUCGAAGUCUUGCCUUGUUCCCUUCUGCUGCUCUACCUCUGCCUUGAUGUGCUUCUGUGUGUGAGGGUAGAUAGGGAAAUGAAAUUCAAUUUGUAUUUUGCAAAUCGCUUUCUUUUCCAGUUUAGGAUUCUGAGAUCUCCCUUUUAGAUUUAAUCAGUCUGUUAUUGUCAUAGGAGAUGACAUCUAACAAUGAAUCUUACCAGUCUCACUGGCCCCAAUGGUUUCAGCAAACUUCAGUGACCUCCAGAUACAUGCUAAUUUUCUUCUUCGCAAAAGAGCUUCUUAACCUGAAGGGUCCCUAAUAUAUGCUUGCUUAAUACAUGUAUUGGAUGAUACACUAUUUUACUGAUGUAAAUCUGCCCAAAACAAGAGAUACCUGGUUAGAGAGAUUGUAUCUUGAUUCUGAGCUUAUUCUGAGCUUUUGACUUCACAUUGGGCUCCAUUAUAAUUGCUGUCUUUGAUCUGUCCUUUCAUUUUCUACAUCUAACUCAGGGCAAAUGCAUGCUACAGUAUCUCUUAAGAAACACUAUAUUAUUCCCAAAAUUAAAAAUUAUUACAUACAGUAAAAUUCACUUUUUUGGGUGCACAGUUCCUUAGCUGGGUGUCUCUGGCUCAAGAUCUCAUGAAGCUGUAAUUGAGAUGUCAGACAGAGCUGCUCUCCCAUCUGAAGGUAUAACUGAGGGAGAAUCCACAUUUGCUCCUGUGGCUACGUGUGGGAUUCAGUUCCUCAUGGACUGUUGGACUGGGGACUUCAGUUCCCUGCUGGCUAUUGCUGGAGGCUUCCCUCGGUUCCUUGUCAUGUCUCCACAGGGCAGAGUAACCCAGGUGACACAGCUUGUUUCCACGCAGGUGAGAAAGCGAGAGACUGAGAGCAAAAUUAAACUCAGGGUGUUUUUUCUAACCCAUGUAGAAGUGACAUCCCGUCAUGUUUGCUGUAUUCUAUUUAUUGGAUGCAAAAGUAGAGAGGAUUACGCAACGCUGUGAACAUCAGAAAGCAGGGAUCAUUGGGGACCAUUUUAGAGGCUGCCACCAUAAAGGCUGUCACAAUGAUCCAAUUGAGAAAUGAUGGAGUUUGAAUUCGUGUGGUGUCAGUAGGCUAGCAUCCUCUGAUUGCAAAAUAUGUGUGACAUUUAGAAGAAUAUAAUUGCUAAAACGUGAUGGUUGAUUGGCUAUGGUAGAUAAAGGAACAAAAAUUUUUGAAGAAGACUCCAGAUUUCAAGCUUGAGCUCCUGAGUAGAUGGCAGUAUUCUUCACUUAUAAUGAUAUCCUGCAGGAAGGAAGAGAUCGUGACUGCUGUUUUGGGCAUAUUAGCUUGCAAGUACCUGUGAGGUAUCUAAUUUGAAUGUCAGGCAGGUGGUUAGAUAUUCAGAUUUGGAACUCAUAAGAAAGUUGUGGGUCAGAUAAUAGAUUUAGGUUUUGUCACCAUAGAGAUUGUAAUUGAAGCCUGUCUUAGGUCCAGUUUCUAGGAGCACAAAUUUCCCAAAUAACAAGUGAGUCAGUAGGAAUGAAGUGAAUGGACUCUUUCUAGUUCUGCCCCUUGACUCUUGUAUUCAUAUAUUCUACCACUGGAUUCUACCAUUGGAUACACAGUACCACAUAAUGACCAUUGGUAUAAGGUAUAUACUACAUCCUAAAGCAACACCAAAACCUCAUAAUGUAUUGUCUCUAAGCUGGCACGUUAGUUGUGACUUUAAGAAACUCUUCCAAUCUCUAUCAGAAUAGCAAUGUCUGGGCUAUACAGUGUGUGGGAAUUGGUGGAUUCCAUACUCACACACCUGUUCUGUGACCCCCCCUCUGUCAUAAGUUGGCUUCUUGGUCUGAUGCAAUAUUGUUCAGGAUUCCAUGUCAGUAAAUCAAGUACUCUGUGAGUCUUUGAAUAGUAGGUGUGAAUUGAGGCACUGUGGGCAGAAAGGCAAACCUAUACCCAGAAAAUAUGCUAUUGCUGGAUAAGACAAAUAACUUCCCUUUUCAGGGUAGAAAAGGAAUUAUUUGCAACUAAAUGGUGUCUUCUUGAGAGAUGGUAGCAUACUGGGCAUCUUUCAGACAGGUUUGAGCAGUGGCAGUAACUAGAUCAGCAUUGGUGGGAGGGAGACCCUUCCACUGGGCUCAUGCAGAGCCUCCAUUUGAAUAUCCAUGACUAUUCUUUGAGGAGGCCCAAUGUGCCAGCCCUGGUGUGGCCAGGGCUACCUGACAUUUACCAGUUAAGUCAUCCUGUCCAACCAGUUUUAUAGAGCCUCUUCUAGAGUCAAUACUCCCUAAUGGGCGUUAAUGCAUGAUACACAGUUUGCCCAUUCCUGUAGAUCCAUGAACCUGUUUCUACUCCCGAUCUCUUUGUUGCCAAUCUUCCAAUCCAAAUGGUCCAAUUCCAAAUGAUCCACUCUGCACUGCUCAGAAGUCCAUGCUUAUCCUUCCUUCAAGCGACUCUCUUCACACAAAGUGGGUGACCAGGUGCACUCCUGUUCAAAGCUGGGACCUCUGUCAUGCAGCAGCAGGCUAUUUUUGUUUAUACUAGUGUACCAAGCUGGUCUAUCUGUGAAUCAGACCUUGGUUUUUUCUCUCCUUCAUCACUGGUGGGUCCUCAGUUAUAAUAUAGAACUAUUUUGGCAUAUCCAUAUCUUGGGCUUUUGAAUCUCUUCCUUAGAACUCUGGUAAGACUACUCUGGUACCUCCACCUCAUUUAAUGUGAGUCAGCCUUAUCACUCCACACCAAGUUCUUAAGAGUCAUCCCAGCAAUGGAAUAAGACUGGUUCUAAACCCCACAGGAAGUCCUCUGAGGGUCACUGGGAGCAAAAGUGAACUAAAACCAGGGAAGAGGCACAGAGACUGGUAAAGAUGAUUUGAAGAGAGCUGUGCAGCCACUAACCGUGUCUACUGUGAAGCCAUCAGGGUGGAUGACAUGGAGAGAGGGUGAAGUGAGAAGAGCACAAUAUUUCAGACGGAGCCCUCCCUACAAAACCCCAAAACCCCAAUAGUUAAUGAUUAAUAGAGAAAAUAUUGCCUACAAAUAAGACAGAAAUCGAGUUGCAAAAGAUGAUGCCAGACAGUGUUUUAAGUAAAGGAUUAUUUCACUGAACUGGCAGAUGCUGAGUCAUUAAGUAAGCUGAAAGUUCAAAUGCAUUCACUGGAUGUAGUAUAAUGGAGGUCAAUGAUGACCUUGGCAAGGGCAGUGUCAGUGGGAUGGUGGGCCCAGGAGCCAGAUUUAGAGUGAAGAGUGGGAGGAAAGUAAAGAAAACCAAAUAAAGAAAGGGAACAGAAGAGGAAAGGGAAGAAAUAAGAUGAUGGAUUGAAAAGACUAUCAGAUUAAGGGAAUAUUUUAUUCUAUUCUCUGUUUUGAUUUUAAGUUUGGAGAGACAUGAAUAAUGCUAGUUUGAAGGAGGUCUGGGAGAGAGAGAGGGAGAGAGAAAGAGAGGGAGAGAUAGAGAGAGAUAUUCAUUGGUGCCUGAUUCCUAAGGAGAAGACUCUAGGGAAAAAAGAUUCUAAGUCCAGAUGAAGGAAUUGCUUUUGAUGAUAAGGAACAAUCUCCAUAUUGCAACAGAAAGGUGGAGAGAAUGAUAGUUUUGGGAUUUGAUGGUGGGAAGUUGAGGCUAUAUAGUUCCAAUCAGAUGGUUGAUUUUCCCCCAGUAGAAGACAGGGUCAUUUGGUAAGAGUUCAUGGGUUGGAUAAAGUACGAGGAUUGAGGAUGGUGGACAGUGUCUGAAAGAAAGGACAGAUGGUAUACAGAGGUGGCAGAUGGCAAUGGCAAUGAGGAAGAUAGAGACUGUAAAGCUAGACUCAGCAGGUUCAGGAUUUACAGAGGCUGGAAAAAUAUUGUCUGGAACAUGAACCCACUUGCAGCCCUGAGAUACUUGGGGAAUUAGGAAAUAUGCCACUUCUAUCAAAAGGGCUGUAACAGAAGUGGUGUUCCACAUGGGAAGUUAGGGUUAAUUAUGAGCAGAAAGUGCAAGGAAGACAAGUUGUGGGAAUGUAGAAGAAUUGUUUAUCAUAGAGCUGGGGUUUCUGAAGAAUAAAAUGAAGAUUUGGGGAGUUUGGGGAGGGUUGGGACAGGGAUUAAGUCAGGAAGGAGAAAACAUAGAACAUUACACAAACCAGCAAAAUAUUCUAUAAUUUUUUUUUUCGGAUCUUUCUCUCUCAUUUUUCUUUUCAACCAACAAGGACACUAUUUUUUUUUUUACUAGUUAUCAGUAUAAACUGUCCCCUAUACAAAGAAAUUCAAUUGGAACAAUUUGCAAAAUUGAACUAAAAUAAAUCUUAACUGGAAUUUAAGUUAACUGGUUGCUCUGGUCUAAACUGAGAUAUUGCUUUUAAGAAUAUAUUCAUGUUUGGGCAUUAAUAGUUCACCAUUUUGCCAUGAUUAUAAUUAAAUAUUAUUAACUUCUCUCUCCUUGA